UGUAUAAUAAACAUCCACCGUCACGAUAACCGCUGGAUCUCCGCGCGCGCAGUCGUCCGCAGCCAUCCGAUCUAAGUCCUCACACGUGACUCGGUCAUCUCCCUCAACAUAUUAAUUCCUGAAACAACAAAUCAGUUGCGGAAGCAAUCGCUCUGUUUCGGCCUCGAUAGAGCUGCAGACGGCUAUAGAAUUUUUUCUGUCAUAAAGAUUUAAUACGGGGUGAUCAACAGAUUGAGCGGACAACUUUUGC
RNAcentral lists this long non-coding RNA (250 nucleotides) under Hordeum vulgare. RNAcentral's name for it is "long non-coding RNA (HVUL_LNC006890)". The record is from RNAcentral. Lineage: Eukaryota; Viridiplantae; Streptophyta; Magnoliopsida; Poales; Poaceae.